UAGUGAAUGUCAAAUGAAUUUGGCAAGUUGUGAGGCAGAGUUAAGGAAUUUACAACAUAGAAAGGAAGAAUUGCAGAAGGAAGUGGACAGAUUGAAUGAGAUUGCUGAGAAAGCUCAGAUGAAUGCUUUGAAAGUGGAAGAGGAUGUUGCAAAUGUAAUGCUUUUGGCUGAGCAAGCUGUUGCUUUUGAACUUGAGGCUGCUCAACGGGUGAAUGAUGCAGAGAUUGCAUUACAGAGGGCAGAGAAGUUUCUCUCUAGUUCUUUCGUUGAUACCCUGGAAACAACCCAAGGGCAUGUAUCUGGUGAUGAGGCUGUUGUUGAGGAGGAGAAGGUUGAAAGAAGGGUUUCUGAUGAUGAAAAAGAAAGCGAUGUGCCCAUCGAUGGUGAUGCUUUAGUUGGUGAGCCAACAGUAGAUAGACUAUCUGAUAAAGCCAGCAACGUUAAAGAGUUAUAUCAAUCUGAUGAUUCUAGUGAACAAGAGAAUGGAAAACUCCAUUUAGAAUUGCCUAGGGAAACUGAAAUAGAAGCAGAAAAGUCAAAGAGUGGAGUUCAAACAAAAAAGCCGGAAAUGCAGAAGGAUUUAACCAGAGAGAUUUCACCUUCACCUCUUAACACUCCAAAGGCAUUUUUGAAGAAAUCUUCACGGUUCUUUUCUGCAUCUUUCUUCUCUUUCAUUGUAGAUGGGACUGAGUUCACACCAGCAUCAGUUUUCCAAGGUCUCAUCGAGUCAGCAAGGAAUCAAUUGCCUAAGCUGGUUCUUGGAUUAUUAUUGUUUGGUGCAGGGGUUGCGUUUUACUCAAAUCGUGUAGAAAGGAGCACACAGAUGCUUCAACAAACGGACAUUGUCACCACUAGUAUUGAAGAAGUUUCCUCAAAUGCCAAGCCUCUAAUUCGACACAUACAGAAAUUUCCAAAGAGAAUAAAAAAGCUACUUGCAAUGCUUCCUCAUCAA
Molecule: unclassified non-coding RNA, 952 nt
Filed under: Hevea brasiliensis (rubber tree)
Lineage: Eukaryota; Viridiplantae; Streptophyta; Magnoliopsida; Malpighiales; Euphorbiaceae
Source: RNAcentral